UUGUCAAAACGUAUUUCUUGGGUAGACUUGAUAUGUUGUUUAAAAAUGACUACUUGUUUUUUUCUUUUAUGGGCUAACCAAAUUUAAUUUCUUGGUCAUCUUUUUCCCUACUGACAAUAUCAAAAUUCAAGUACCUAAUCCAAUAAUAUAUUGUUUUCCAAAAUUGUUUGUCUAUGUUCAUUUAGUCCUCCACUAUG
This 197-nucleotide small RNA is filed under the name Staphylococcus aureus. RNAcentral's name for it is "Transcript". The record is from RNAcentral. Lineage: Bacteria; Bacillati; Bacillota; Bacilli; Caryophanales; Staphylococcaceae.